This 443-nucleotide ribosomal RNA is filed under the name uncultured bacterium. RNAcentral describes it as "partial 16S ribosomal RNA". It matches the Rfam family "Bacterial small subunit ribosomal RNA", at positions 338 to 795 of the family's 1533-position model. The record is from RNAcentral.
CCUACGGGUGGCAGCAGUGGGGGAUAUUGGACAAUGGGGGCAACCCUGAUCCAGCGACGCCGCGUGAGGGAAGAAGUAUUUCGGUAUGUUAAGCUCUAUUAGCAGGGAAGAAAGAAAUGACGGUACCUGAGUAAGAAGCCCCGGCUAACUACGUGACAGCAGCCGGGGUAAUACGUAGGGGGCAAGCGUUAUCCGGAAUUCAUGGGUGUAAAGGGUGCGUAGGCGGUAAUGCAAGCCUGGAGUGAAAGGCGGGGGCCCAACCCCCGGACUGCUCUGGAAACUGUGUAACUGGAGUGCAGGAGAGGCAGGCGGAAUGCGUGGUGUAGCGGUGAAAUGCAUAGAUAUUAGGAGGAACACCAGUGGCGAAGGCGGCAUGUUGGAUUGUAACUGACGUUGAGGCUCGAAAGCGUGGGGAGCGAACAGGAUUAGAUACCCCUGUAGUC